CCCCUCAGUACAGCUCAAACACCGAGCAUUACAUCAGGCCUGAAGAGGUGUAGCUGUAGCUGUAGUGGAUCGAGAUGGCAGACUCGCGGCUCCAACAUAUAACGGCUCCUUCCAUCGCUAGGCAGUUCAUGGAAAGAAUGUUAAGAAGGCUUCAGGAAGUUCUCCAACGUCAGCCAGUGGAUUUUGAUUAUUUAAAUUUUGUUUUAAGCCAUGAAAUGGAACUUGUGCAUUCUUUUGCUAAUGUAAUACAACUGCCACAAGA
Perca fluviatilis (European perch) is the source of this 262-nucleotide long non-coding RNA. RefSeq lists it as uncharacterized. NCBI's taxonomy places the organism in Eukaryota, Metazoa, Chordata, Actinopteri, Perciformes, Percidae. The transcript is spliced from 2 exons. The record is from RefSeq and is a predicted model, not a curated record.